GGCCUCGUAGCUCAACGGAUUAGAGCAUCUGACUACGGAUCAGAAGGUUAGAGGUUCGAAUCCCUUCGAGGUCA
This 74-nucleotide transfer RNA is filed under the name Bacteroidota bacterium. Its description in RNAcentral is "Bacteroidetes bacterium (activated sludge metagenome) tRNA-Arg". It matches the Rfam family "tRNA". From Rfam's summary of the family: Transfer RNA (tRNA) molecules are approximately 80 nucleotides in length. The record is from RNAcentral. Lineage: Bacteria; Pseudomonadati; Bacteroidota.